RNAcentral lists this unclassified non-coding RNA (457 nucleotides) under Sporothrix schenckii. RNAcentral describes it as "sequence contains 18S rRNA gene, ITS1, 5.8S rRNA gene, ITS2, 28S rRNA gene". The stretch from base 95 to 248 matches the Rfam family "5.8S ribosomal RNA". Lineage: Eukaryota; Fungi; Ascomycota; Sordariomycetes; Ophiostomatales; Ophiostomataceae. The record is from RNAcentral.
CCUCCGCCCCCGCCCGCCAGGGGCGGCGGGCCCUACGAACCUUUGUAUCUCAACCACUAGAAAACCGUCUGAGGAAAAAAAACAAAAUAAUCAAAACUUUCAACAACGGAUCUCUUGGCUCUGGCAUCGAUGAAGAACGCAGCGAAAUGCGAUACGUAAUGUGAAUUGCAGAAUUCAGCGAACCAUCGAAUCUUUGAACGCACAUUGCGCCCGCCAGCAUUCUGGCGGGCAUGCCUGUCCGAGCGUCAUUUCCCCCCUCACGCGCCCCGUUGCGCGCUGGUGUUGGGGCGCCCUCCGCCUGGCGGGGGGCCCCCGAAAGCGAGUGGCGGGCCCUGUGGAUGGCUCCGAGCGCAGUACCGAACGCAUGUUCUCCCCUCGCUCCGGACGCCCCCCAGGCGCCCUGCCGUGAAAACGCGCAUGACGCGCAGCUCUUUUUACAAGGUUGACCUCGGAUCAG